GAAAAAUGGACCACUGAGGUGCUUUUGAUUCCUCAGAGAACAGCGCUGCGCACAUCUUGGUUGUUAGCACGACCCGUGCUGGUCCACUGUCGUCCCAAGUCAGAGGUCACUGACGCCAGGGACAGGCGACUGCUGUGUUGCUUGAAAUGCCCCUGGGCCCAAAGUGCCUUCAGAUGAUAAAAGGGCAGCGGAGCCGCAUCAAACCUGAGCCUGUGGCAGCCUCUGGACCCCGCUGCGGGAGCUGCGGGAGCUGCGGGAGGAGCGGCCCCCAGUUGACCACCAGCAACAUCCAGCCUCGGAGAAACCGGGGCACACGGCCUGGGCUCCCCAACGGAUCAACG
RNAcentral lists this long non-coding RNA (341 nucleotides) under Mustela putorius furo (domestic ferret). Its description in RNAcentral is "lncRNA (ENSMPUG00000025886.1)". The record is from RNAcentral. Lineage: Eukaryota; Metazoa; Chordata; Mammalia; Carnivora; Mustelidae.